Molecule: ribosomal RNA, 599 nt
Filed under: uncultured bacterium
Lineage: Bacteria
Description: bacterial SSU rRNA
Rfam family: Bacterial small subunit ribosomal RNA
Source: RNAcentral
GGGGGAUAACAGUUGGAAACGACUGCUAAUACCGCAUAAGCGCACAGGAUCACAUGAUCUGGUGUGAAAAACUCCGGUGGUAUGAGAUGGACCCGCGUCUGAUUAGCCAGUUGGCAGGGUAACGGCCUACCAAAGCGACGAUCAGUAGCCGACCUGAGAGGGUGACCGGCCACAUUGGGACUGAGACACGGCCCAAACUCCUACGGGAGGCAGCAGUGGGGAAUAUUGCACAAUGGGGGAAACCCUGAUGCAGCGACGCCGCGUGAGCGAAGAAGUAUUUCGGUAUGUAAAGCUCUAUCAGCAGGGAAGAAGAAUGACGGUACCUGACUAAGAAGCACCGGCUAAAUACGUGCCAGCAGCCGCGGUAAUACGUAUGGUGCAAGCGUUAUCCGGAUUUACUGGGUGUAAAGGGAGCGCAGGCGGUGCGGCAAGUCUGAUGUGAAAGCCCGGGGCUCAACCCCGGUACUGCAUUGGAAACUGUCGUACUAGAGUGUCGGAGGGGUAAGUGGAAUUCCUAGUGUAGCGGUGAAAUGCGUAGAUAUUAGGAGGAACACCAGUGGCGAAGGCGGCUUACUGGACGAUAACUGACGCUGAGGCUC